GACGAACGCUGGCGGCGUGCUUAACACAUGCAAGUCGAACGGAAAGGCCCAGCUUGCUGGGUACUCGAGUGGCGAACGGGUGAGUAACACGUGGGUGAUCUGCCCCUGACUUUGGGAUAAGCCUGGGAAACUGGGUCUAAUACCGGAUAUGACCUUACAUCGCAUGGUGUUUGGUGGAAAGCUUUUGCGGUUGGGGAUGGGCCCGCGGCCUAGCAGCUUGUUGGUGGGGUAAUGGCCUACCAAGGCGACGACGGGUAGCCGACCUGAGAGGGUGAUCGGCCACACUGGGCCUGGGACACGGCCCAGACUCCUCCGGGAGGCAGCAGUGGGGAAUAUUGCACAAUGGGCGCAAGCCUGAUGCAGCGACGCCGCGUGAGGGAUGACGGCCUUCGGGUUGUAAACCUCUUUCACCAGGGACGAAGCGUGAGUGACGGUACCUGGAGAAGAAGCACCGGCCAACUACGUG
This 466-nucleotide ribosomal RNA is filed under the name uncultured bacterium. RNAcentral's name for it is "partial 16S ribosomal RNA". It matches the Rfam family "Bacterial small subunit ribosomal RNA", at positions 28 to 507 of the family's 1533-position model. The record is from RNAcentral.